RNAcentral lists this ribosomal RNA (539 nucleotides) under uncultured bacterium. Its description in RNAcentral is "bacterial SSU rRNA". It matches the Rfam family "Bacterial small subunit ribosomal RNA", at positions 343 to 882 of the family's 1533-position model. The record is from RNAcentral.
GGGAGGCAGCAGUGAGGAAUAUUGGUCAAUGGGCGAGAGCCUGAACCAGCCAAGUAGCGUGAAGGAUGACUGCCCUAUGGGUUGUAAACUUCUUUUAUAAAGGAAUAAAGUCGGGUAUGUAUACCCGUUUGCAUGUACUUUAUGAAUAAAGAUCGGCUAACUCCGUGCCAGCAGCCGCGGUAAUACGGAGGAUCCGAGCGUUAUCCGGAUUUAUUGGGUUUAAAGGGAGCGUAGAUGGAUGUUUAAGUCAGUUGUGAAAGUUUGCGGCUCAACCGUAAAAUUGCAGUUGAUACUGGAUAUCUUGAGUGCAGUUGAGGCAGGCGGAAUUCGUGGUGUAGCGGUGAAAUGCUUAGAUAUCACGAAGAACUCCGAUUGCGAAGGCAGCCUGCUAAGCUGCAACUGACAUUGAGGCUCGAAAGUGUGGGUAUCAAACAGGAUUAGAUACCCUGGUAGUCCACACGGUAAACGAUGAAUACUCGCUGUUUGCGAUAUACUGCAAGCGGCCAAGCGAAAGCGUUAAGUAUUCCACCUGGGGAGUA